Molecule: ribosomal RNA, 58 nt
Filed under: Stereum sanguinolentum
Lineage: Eukaryota; Fungi; Basidiomycota; Agaricomycetes; Russulales; Stereaceae
Description: partial 28S ribosomal RNA
Source: RNAcentral
AAACCGUCCGAAAGGACAACUUUCAUCGAACUUUGACCUCAAAUCAGGUGGGACUACC